GCAAAACCUGCAAAAAGAUGACAAUGUUAGUACGUGAAUGAGAAAAAAUGAUAUCUCAAUGGGAUCGCUUCUUGCAAUAAAAUCCAGAUGACGGUACAUGCCCCAUAAUCAUUAUUACGGGGUUUUAGUAUUUCGCCAGGAUUUUAUUAUAAGAAAAGGCAUCAUUAAAAUAAUCAAUCACGGCCAUCAAUCGAAUGUCCACCUUUAUUCCAAAAGUUUCGUAUGCAAAAGUGUCAUUGAUUUUUGAAAGAUUGAUUUGUGAUUUUACUCCUAAAAAAAUGAAGUGAUUUAUAUUUUGAGGAAUUUGUACACAAUGAUUUGCAUUAUAGUCCCAAAAUGUGAGAAUGAGAAAAAUUGAUAAAAAUGCAAUUUCAAUUUUUGUGCCCCAAUAUAAACUCACAACUUGAAAGUUUUUUUUUCUUUUUUUUUUGAAAUGAUUUUAAGCCCAUAACUAGAAAUUUAAACAAAACCAUGUGUUCAAUAGAGAUAAAUAAAAAAUGUUUAGAACUUGCAUUCAAAUGCUCACUUGUCAAAAGUGAUUGCUAAUUUUUCAAUCAUAAGCUUGCAUCACCAAUGGCAUUUGAUUGAUUUCCGCAAAUUUCAAAAUGAAAAUGUAAUACAAAAUGAGCAAAAAAAGGAAAUGAUACUUACAAUGGGUGCCGACCUUUGUCUCAUGCUUUUUUUUCCAAUCACAUAGAGAUGCACAUGUAAUGUAGUUCGAUUUCUACUCUAUACAGCCCAAAAUGGAGCCAUGGGAUCACAGGACUGAACCAACAUGCUCGUGGCUAGGUCGUGUUACCCAUAACUCCGGCUUCGUCAAAGGACCGACUCGUGUCGCAUGCUCGCAGACCAGGGUGGGGACCUCUAACAUCAAGAAAGAAAUUUCGGGGUUGAGAUGGGCGACUCGUACUACAUGCUUGUAGUCGGAGUGGUAUCCACCUCAACACCAUCCUAAGUAAUCCUAUGCGGCCCAGGUCCGGCGGCAGGUUGUGUGUGCUAAAGUGUAGUGCAAUGUAGGAGAUGCAGGCAUGACAAUUCAUAAGCAAUCAACACUUCAUACAUGAAUAAUAAACCAUACAUUCCUUCACCUCCCUACAAGACAAAAGUGAGCAAACACUUCCCCUUAUACCUCCCAUUCUACAAAAACAUUUAACACCUUUAAUGUUAAAGACAUACCUGGAAUCCUUGCUGCCAAACAAAAAUAUUUUUUUUGAACAAGAUUAAUAUUGGCCUAAGUCCUCUAAGGUUUAAAACCAAACCAAGUCCCCAGCGGAGUCGCCAAGCUGUCGCGACCUACCCUCGGGGGGAGGGAACAAGUUUAGGGGUAUUGCCUAAAGGACGGGCCUAAGGCCCAAGAUCAGGCGUGGGCUCUCCCAAGCCCAUACCCCGCGUGACAUUGGGAUAUUCUUUAGAAUUUUUGCACAAAAGGAGUCGCCACUAGCCUAUUGGGGUCGGCUAGAAACCAA
RNAcentral lists this long non-coding RNA (1466 nucleotides) under Eucalyptus grandis. RNAcentral's name for it is "long non-coding RNA (EGRA_LNC007685)". The record is from RNAcentral. Lineage: Eukaryota; Viridiplantae; Streptophyta; Magnoliopsida; Myrtales; Myrtaceae.